This 497-nucleotide ribosomal RNA is filed under the name uncultured bacterium. RNAcentral's name for it is "partial 16S ribosomal RNA". It matches the Rfam family "Bacterial small subunit ribosomal RNA", at positions 28 to 507 of the family's 1533-position model. The record is from RNAcentral.
GAUGAACGCUGGCGGCGUGCCUAAUACAUGCAAGUCGAGCGAACAGACGAGGAGCUUGCUCCUCUGACGUUAGCGGCGGACGGGUGAGUAACACGUGGAUAACCUACCUAUAAGACUGGGAUAACUUCGGGAAACCGGAGCUAAUACCGGAUAAUAUAUUGAACCGCAUGGUUCAAUAGUGAAAGACGGUUUUGCUGUCACUUAUAGAUGGAUCCGCGCUGCAUUAGCUAGUUGGUAAGGUAACGGCUUACCAAGGCAACGAUGCGUAGCCGACCUGAGAGAGUGAUCGGCCACACUGGAGCUGAGACACGGUCAAGACUCCUACGGGAGGCAGCAGUAGGGAAUCUUCCGCAAUGGGCGAAAGCUUGACGGAGCAGCGCCGCGUGAGUGAUGAAGGUCUUCGGAUCGGAAAACUCUGUUAUUAGGGAAGAACAAAUGUGUAAGUAACUAUGCACGUCUUGACGGUACCUAAUCAGAAAGCCACGGCUAACUACGUG